This 253-nucleotide ribosomal RNA is filed under the name uncultured bacterium. RNAcentral's name for it is "partial 16S ribosomal RNA". It matches the Rfam family "Bacterial small subunit ribosomal RNA", at positions 524 to 776 of the family's 1533-position model. The record is from RNAcentral.
UACGUAGGGUGCAAGCGUUAAUCGGAAUUACUGGGCGUAAAGCGUGCGCAGGCGGUUAUGUAAGACAGUUGUGAAAUCCCCGGGCUCAACCUGGGAACUGCGUUUGAAACUACAAGGCUAGAGUGUAGCAGAGGGGGGUAGAAUCCCACGUGUAGCAGUGAAAUGCGUAGAGAUGUGGAGGAAUACCAAUGGCGAAGGCAGCCCCCUGGGUUAACACUGACGCUCAUGCACGAAAGCGUGGGGAGCAAACAGG